CAUUUGGAUUGGGGCCUAGUUUGGAGCUUCUAAGAGGUUAGUAACUGGAUCCUUUCCUCUAGAUCUAGUUUUUGUUGGAUUUUACUAGAUCAAACCCUAGAUUUUGGAUUUUAGGGUUAAAUUUGGGGAUUUUCGUUUUGAGGGUUUUUGUACCAAAUUGAUGGGUUUAGAACCUUUGUUUAGGUUAGAUUGGAAGGACUCUAGCUCCCAUUUGGAGAUUGGGAGAGCUUCCUUCGCAAUCGAUGAGUUUUUCGUCAACCCUAGCCCUAUAUGCUUAAUGAUUGAACUUAGCAUCGUUCGUUUCGACUAGAUGACACUUGUUCUCGUACCUUUAGGGUACUAGGAGUGCGGUGGACGCCUUCGUCGUGACAAACGAGAGCCUUCGUUGACGACGGUGGGUUUGGCUUCCUUGAAAUUGGAGGAAAUUCCUCCUAAGUGGUUAAAUGCUUUCAUUCUCUUCAAAUUCAUGCAUAUUCAUGUUUAGUAGCAUUUAUGGGAAUUUUGAAUGCUUGGAACUCAUAUGUUAUGCAUCAAGAAAGCUACUCUAUAUAGUAGAGAGACAAAUGUGCUUUGUUAUUAUGCAUGCGACGCAUAUUCUACGAGAUGAAAGGAAAUAAAGUUUCAUACUUCGAUUUUGACUAGAAAUUAUAAGUUCUUGAACUUAGUAUCCAUGUUGGGACAAAAUGAGCCAUAGUGUCAUAAAGAGGCACUUGGACUAGAGAAUUAUUAAACUGCAACAUAGAGACUUGAUAAUAGGCCACAUUGACAACAACUAUAUUCCAUAUUUGAGAUAUGAUGAAAUAGUGACUUGGCCACGAGGACAUUUGCUAUAUACCAUGUUACUGAACAUGAGGAUUUGGUACUUGCGACUGAUCGUUUGAUUACUUGCCAUUGUGCUCAUUCGCACAUGCUUGUGAGGGUCGCUCCCUACAAGCCGGCACUCCGGAGAUGGCCAUCGCGAUACAUAUUCGCCGUGCGGGAUUGGGCGCCGAAGUGGAUUGCCGUGGGCCAGGCUCAUUCCUAGGGUGGGGAUGAUGACUACCACGGGGCCAUUAGGCUCGGCACCGGCCAGACAGCCUACGGGUGGGUCUCAGGGCCAUAGACAGCCUUCGGGUGGGUCUCUUCAGAUUUGACUUGAGUAUUCAUCAUGACAUGUGGACAGAUGAUGACUUAGAGUAUUAUUUGGACAUUGACUAGAAUAGUAAACAACGGAACUUUACUAUUUUGCAUCGUGAACAUUAUGACAGUUGGAGACAUUUUACUUCAUGCAUAGUUGUUUUCAUACUUAUGCUAUUUGUACUAAGUAGAGAUAUCAUGUUGUAGUAAGUUACACAUUUAUUUGCCUUUCGCUUUCCUACGUUAUAGUCACUGACAUCUAUUGUAGCUUUGGGCCUUGUGGCGCAUUCACUGAAGUCAGUAAUUGCCCACUGGGAACUAUUCUUAAUAGUUCUCACGCCCCUGUUUCUAUGUUUCCUUUUCAGAGCCUUCGGCACCGGCGGAGGCACGGGAUCGCGGCAAGGGGAUCGCUUAGCUAGCUAGCGAGGAGCGAUACUUUGCCUAGGUGGUUACUCUUUCUUUUAUUUUUGAGAGAGUGUGAGAUUUUUGUAUCCGUGUAUAGAGACCACCUAUGUACCUACCUAUAGCACUUGUAUUUGGGAUUUCCUAUUGUAUUUACUUUAUGUCUUAUUUAGCGAAUUUACAGUUUCAUCCUUAUCUCUUGUUGUAGCAUUUAGACAUUUAUUACGCUCUGAUACACCUAGAUGUCUAUUAUUAUGGCUUUAUUAUUGUUGUUCUUAGACGCCUUAUAUGUUGUAGACAUAUGGCGGGUCUGGGCACGCGCCGGGCGGGCUUCCGCUGGGUCCCGCGGCGUGACACAGAGACAUUCUCAUUGAGCUCUA
RNAcentral lists this long non-coding RNA (1898 nucleotides) under Ananas comosus (pineapple). Its description in RNAcentral is "long non-coding RNA (ACOM_LNC034352)". The record is from RNAcentral. Lineage: Eukaryota; Viridiplantae; Streptophyta; Magnoliopsida; Poales; Bromeliaceae.